Alligator sinensis (Chinese alligator) is the source of this 703-nucleotide long non-coding RNA. RefSeq lists it as uncharacterized. NCBI's taxonomy places the organism in Eukaryota, Metazoa, Chordata, Crocodylia, Alligatoridae. The transcript is spliced from 3 exons. The record is from RefSeq and is a predicted model, not a curated record.
UAUAAAAUUUUUGGCAUUCAGCCUUAAAAAAAACCCAAAACAAACAAACAGAAUGCAUUAGUGCUUUAAAGUCAUGAAGAACAAUAAAGUAAUACAUUCUCUAUAGUGCGUCGCAUCUAACAAUAAAAAAAUGCUGCCAAUAUGAUGAAGUAAGCUUAUGUGUCUCUGCCUUAGUCUUUAAAAGGUACAAGUCUUCCCUGCCUUCUGCCAGGUUUCAGACCAACAUGGUUACUUACUGCUCUCAAUUACAACUACACCCACUAACUGAUAACCUUUAUGUCCACUCUCUACUAGGCAGAACCAGCAAUGUAACUACAGUGGGGCACCAGGAUCCUCCUGCCAGGACAACACGGCACCACACCCCGCUAUAUAAAGUUGAGGGGAAGUGGGCCUAAGUCUACUCCAGGACCAGAAAGCAACUCACAAACUAGUUCUCCUGUGGCAACUCCAGGCCCACAAAAAUCAAGUGGAAAAGGAUGUAUUGGAACCAAACCAGUCACAGGCUUCAUCACUUUUCCAUUCUGCCCGACUGAUCUACGUACACUUCAAAGCUAUUAAAUCAUCCUUGCUGUUUCUGGUGCAUGUCAGCUUCAGUCUACAUGCUGUCUCCUUUAUACUCCCAUCAGGGACAGUAAGCCUCAAUUGUUAGUUAAAUUUUCAAGGUAGGUAACUGUAUUAUGCAAAAGGAAGCUGUUAAACUGCU